This 393-nucleotide ribosomal RNA is filed under the name Stemphylium botryosum. Its description in RNAcentral is "partial 28S ribosomal RNA". The stretch from base 171 to 318 matches the Rfam family "5.8S ribosomal RNA". The record is from RNAcentral. Lineage: Eukaryota; Fungi; Ascomycota; Dothideomycetes; Pleosporales; Pleosporaceae.
UCUCAAGAUGAAAGCGGGUUGGGACCUCACUUUGGUGAGGGCUCCAGCUCGUCUGAAUUAUUCACCAUGUCUUUUGGCACUUCUUGUUUCAGGGCGGGUUCGCCGCCCCAGGACAAACAUAAACUUUUUGUAAUUGCAAUCAGCGUCAGUAAACAAUGUUAAUUUAUUACAACUUUUCACAACNGAUCUCUAGGUUCUGGCAUGAUGAAGAACGCAUNAANUGCUAUACNUAGCUGUGAAUUGCAGAANUCAGUGAAGUCAUCGAAUCUUUGAAAGUCAUUGGUCUUUUGGUAUUCAAGGGCAUGCUGUUUCAGGUCAUUUGUACUCAGCUUUGCUGGUGUGGGGCGUCUUGUCUCUCGAGNNUGCAUUUAAAAUGAUAGGCAGCNCUACUGG